ACUGAGCGUGUCUUCCUGAGGACGUCCAGUUCAGCUAGAAAGCUAGUUGGAGAGUACAGACAGUGUUUCCCCCUGUAUUAUUGCGUUAAAAACCGGUUAGAGCACUUUGUCUUUGCACAAUGGCUUCACAAAAGGUGUUUUUUGGUGUGAAUUCGGUUUUGGAGGAGCUUGAUCGUCUGAGUGACUGAAUCUUUCAGCAACACUAGCUUUGACGCGGUCAGAAAAGCUGCGUGGGACAGGAUCCUCAUCUUCAACUAGACUGAGUGAUGAAGGAUGGAUAGUAGCUAACAAGUCAGCCAGGCACCUACAAGGAAGUGGUUUGGCCACCAGCACACCUCCCACCUCCAUCUCUAUCAUAAAAGUGUGAACAAAUACAAU
This is a long non-coding RNA of Megalobrama amblycephala (Wuchang bream), 378 nucleotides long. RefSeq lists it as uncharacterized. The transcript has 2 exons. The record is from RefSeq and is a predicted model, not a curated record. NCBI's taxonomy places the organism in Eukaryota, Metazoa, Chordata, Actinopteri, Cypriniformes, Xenocyprididae.